Molecule: long non-coding RNA, 42801 nt
Filed under: Citrus sinensis (sweet orange)
Lineage: Eukaryota; Viridiplantae; Streptophyta; Magnoliopsida; Sapindales; Rutaceae
Description: long non-coding RNA (CSIN_LNC002323)
Source: RNAcentral
CGACACCGGGGAUCUUCUGCUUGAUCUUGUCCACCAAGCCCUCCUUGUGUUCGCCCUCCUUGUGUUCCCCGCCGUGAUGCUGCUGCUGAUGGUGAACAUCAGUAGUGCCGACACCGGGGAUCUGCUGCUUGAUCUUGUCCACCAAGCCCUCCUUGUGUUCGCCGCCGUGAUACUGCUGCUGAUGGUGGACAUCAGUAGUGUGGUGGUCCCCACUAUGGUGCUCUCCCUUGUGCUUGUCCUCCUCCUUUUGCCCUCCUCCCAUGUGAAGGGCUUCUCCGAUCUUGUGAAUAACUCCUGACAUUUUCCCUUAAAAUGACUCUGUUCCUCUUCUUUUCUUUUCAAUGAAAAAUAGUUGUUUGCGAUCUUCUUCUGGUUGUUGUUGUUCUUGUUGGGUGAUCUUGGCUUGGUAUUUAUAGGCUCCAAAAGGAGGGACUAGAAUUAGGAUUAGAUUAUAGAUUAUUUUAAUACAUUUUAUGGCAAAUUCUGAUUUGGAAAGAUAAGAUUAUCCUUUUGGUUUUCCUUAUUUACCCUUUUGCACCCAUUACGUGUACGCGUCUUCGUGGGCUUUUUGGGUAUUUCAAUUAUAUCGCCAAUGCUAAAUCGACACGUUGCAUAUCAGCCGCGGUACUGCCGUAUGUAGUUGUCCAGAAAUCGAGUCGAUUCUCGAUCGUACAAUAAUUAAAUAAUAUUUCAUACGAAAUGAGUUUAGAUAUAUUUUGAAAAUUUAUUUUUAAUUUAAUUAUACGUGUUAUAUAUUUGUUAAUCGAAUAGAGGUCCCACGUAACAGAGUGUUUCUCUAAUCUUUCAUUGCUUUUAAUUAAUUUUACCCAAAUAAAAAAAAAAAGGAAAAUUUAGAGAGAGAGAGAGAGAUAGCGAAUUAGAAGUUGAUUGUAAUAUCGACACCUGUCAGACAAUCAAAUAUCGUUAGUUAAAAAUCAGUUGUCCAUAGUCAUGGUCAUAGAUGGCGAAAUUGAUACUUAUUUUAAAAAACAAAACAAAACAAAACGAAACGAAACUAAACUAACAGAUGUUGAAAUGCAGUUCCGUGUUAACAGUCUGUGAUGAAUCUUUAUCUUUGAGUAUACCAUUCAAGAAAUUAUCAUUCAAAAAUUUAUUUAAAGCAGCAGCAAAUCACCUUCUAAUUCCUGAAUCAAAUUAAUUCGAUUUUUUUCGAGUCGAUCAAUUCAUUAGAGAAUUAACGGGCUAAGUUAAAGUUUUGUUAGUUAUUUUUUUUUAUAUUCCUUUAGAUGAUAUGAUUGUCAUUGUCUUUCUUUCUCUGGGCAACAAUAAAUACAAGAUGUGCAAAAGCGUAGUGGAACAUAAUUCGAUUAUGGGUAAAGGGAUCAGUCCGCAUAAUGAGGAUAAAGUUUUUCUCUUUAAAAAAAUUUAACCCAAAGAAAAGGUCGUAGUUUGUAAUAGCCGACACGCAGAUAGAUCACAAAGCAUGGCGGUCCUGAUGGCAAUAACUAACUGAUAUCUUCUGCGAUGAGAGGAGAUCACGUGGUUCUGACACGUAUCGCCCCAUCAACUGAUGUUGUGGCUGCAAUCGCGGCCCAGUCUUUAGAGAGAAGAAAGAUCUGUUAUAACGGGACCUACUUUAGCAUCUAUUUACGACAAAGCCCCUAUUUACUCUACUUAGUAGUAAUAAUAGCAAGUGUCGGGCUUGGAUUCCGUGUUGCUUUAAAUAAAUAUCCGCGUAAAAAGAAAAUGCUUCUUUAAUCCCUUCCUUGUAAUUUUUCGACACGUGGAUGGUUGAAAUUAGCGUGCCGACAUCUUAGGAAUUUUAUCUUGGAGACGGGAACACUGCAGUAGGCAAUGCCAUUUUCUUCGGAUGGUGUGUGGUGACAACGCCUUGGAUUUUGACGUGCAAAGAAUUUAAAUUGAAAAAGAAAAAAAGAAAUUACCAGAAUAAGCAUAGAAGAGAUAUUUUUCUUUUUGUCCUUUUUGGAAUGGAAAAAGAGAUCAAGAGAUUGUUCCAGUAAGUAUUACACAUGUCACAGGCUUAUUCAUGCCCCAUUAUGGCAACUUUUAUGCCUCGCGGUGCCCUCGGUUCCAGCAUAAUAGCUAAGACUUCAAUUUUUCUAACAUAUUUUUGUUACAAAUAUGAACGGAGUAAAUGUAUAACUUUAAUCCUUUGAAUAAAGAAAUGGCGGUUCUCCUGCUCGUUAAUCUCACUUGAAUCCCACCCAGGCAAAAUUUCUUUAUUUUAUUUAACAACAAUUUAAAGAAAGAAACUUUUGCCAGGUUGAAUUUCAAGUGAGAUUCAUUCGUGGGAGAAGUGCCAUUUCUUUAUUCAAAAGAUUAUGGUAAUUACAACUUUCAAUUUCGACAUAAAUUAAAAUUAUAGGCUAUACAAUAAAAUUGCCCUAAAUUAGUCCUAAUCAAUUCAGAUUAUAAAUUUAGGUAUAUUUAUUAUUUUAAUAUAUUAAUGUUCUAUAUAUAUAUAUAUAUAUAUAUAUAUAUGUGUGUGUGUGUGUGUAUNNNNNNNNNNNNNNNNNNNNNNNNNNNNNNNNNNNNNNNNNNNNNNNNNNNNNNNNNNNNNNNNNNNNNNNNNNNNNNNNNNNNNNNNNNNNNNNNNNNNNNNNNNNNACAGCAGAAAAUAUUUGCUAUGGAUAAGGAGACAUGGUCCCACGUCCCACCGUCCCAAUGCAUAUUUUGUAUGUUUCCAUCUUUUCUGAAAUUUUAAUAAAUAAAGUUUUUUGACCACUUGGCCAAAGAACCUUACCCUUACACAACUUUGUGGUUGGAGUCCUGUGAUACAUGUAAGAACUUAUUUUUUUUCUUAAUUAUAAUAUUUUAGAAUAUAAUUAAGUGAAGUAGGUUUUUUUUUUAAAUAUGAGUAAAAUAGAUAUUUUUUAAAUAUUAAAGAGAGUAAAAUUUGAAUAAUAAUAUAUUAAAAUUAAUACAAACUAAUUUUAAUAAUUAUUUAAUUAUAAAUAUCAAUUAUAACAUCAUAUAAUAUCAAUUAUAAUAUCGUACAUCUCAAUUAAUUCAAUAAUAAUAAUAAUAAAUGUUUUUUGGGAUAAGUAAACAGUCGCAUGGCGACAAUAGUGGAUCUGGAUUAGAGUGAAGUGGUCCCAAGAGGCUGAGGCUGUGGCUGUGGAGUUCUAAAAGUCAAAAGCUCCACGCACUUUGUUUCAGUACCAUACACACUGAAAAAAUUUGCAUUUGCAAUGACGAAAACUUUUCACGAAAUCAAAACACCUCUAAACUAUUUUGUUAUCGAUAUUUAAUGGAGGGGUUUCCUACCUUUUUAACACUCGAUUCACGCCUUGACGCAUCUCACAGAAAACCUCAUGAUCCCAUUAAUCUUGCGUAACAUAUCUCAAAGCCAAUGCAAGUGAUCUUGUUGCCUACUUCCCUUUGACGAUUCAAAAUUGUUGAAAAUAAUUCUUUUUUUUUUUAACCUCAAGGAAGUGACAAAAUAUAAAAGAAUAUUUUCUACACAUUAAACAUCUAGAUUUUUUUUUCUUUUCUUUUUAGAGUACUUGCACAAACCGUUUCCAAGAGAGACCUUUUUUUUUUUUUUUUUUUUCCGGGCUUGGUUACUAAUUUGGUGUGAAUACUCUAUGGUGAAAAAGGAAUCACAAAGCUGUAAUCAAUUUUUUUGCAUCAUUUAGUUGUAACUUGAACAUUGGGAGGUUUAUAAAGAAUUAAAUUAAUUAUAAUGCCUCUACUAGGAAAAGUUCAGAGUAGCCCUUCACAACUUUUUAAAGGCUUAAUAAUUUUCGCUUUCUUCCUCUCAUAACAUAACAAAAAAUUAAGAGCUUUACUCGUACACGUCCUAUGGCUAUAUAGUAUUGGGUUCUCUACUUCAAUCGGCUAUCUCAAACCGAAGGUUAUUUGGACACACCAGCAGUCACGUUUGGAAACUCUCAAAUGCUUGGAUUGUAAUUCUUGUGGAUGAGAUCAUCUAAAUCUUGGGCCCAAGCCGGACAAUGGGUGGACAAAGAACCCUAAAAUACAGUAAAGCUUCUAACACCCCACUAAAACUCUUAAGAAAUCCUACCUUUUAUUUUUAUAUCUCUUUCUUUUAGAAAUUAUAGAGAAGACAUAGCAUUUUAAUUAUUUUCCCUGCCAUUGAAAAUAAAUUCUGUAAACAUAUUUUUUCAUAAUAAAAUUAUUGUUAUUAGAUAAUUUAUUUCUUCAUUGUUUCAAAAUUAUUAUAAUUUUAUCAACAAAAUUAGUUAUGUCAUAUAUUAGGAUUAAAAUUAAUUAGGAUCCAUAACUUGUAAAGACAUUUUAGUUUAAUUGAAUUCAUAUUUGUCAUUUUAUGUAAUUUUCAAUAAAAAUACGACUAUGAGUGCAAAAGUGGGAUGACAUAAUAUUAAAAGAGUGUGAAAUAAUCGGUAAUUGAAAUGGAUUGAAAUCAUAAUAGAGUAUGAAAAUCAGAAUAAAUUGUUUACUUUAGUUGUAGAAAUCAAAAUUAAAAUAAACCAUAUUAUCAUUGAUGUAUAUAUGUUUUCUUGUAAUCGAAAUGAAUUCUUAUAAGUUACUAUAAGACCCUUAUGGUGUGUUUACUAAUCAGAAAUCAGAAUGGAGUGGAAUUUGAAUAUAGAAUGGUAGGGGUAUUCGCGGAUCGGAUUUUACGGAUUGGACAUUAAUUCAUAUCCGAUCCAUAAUUUUACGGAUUAUAAAUUCUCAACACAAUCCAAAUCCAAUCUAUAUGUUUGCAGAUCGGAUGCGGAUUUGACUCAAUUCAUAUCCAAUCCACUAUUUGACGGAUUGAUUUUGGAAUUAAAAAUUUUUAAUUUUGUCCAAUCUAUGAGGUAAUUAAAUUUAAAAAUCUAAUAUAAAAAUAAUUUAUUAAAUAAAAAAUUAACGUAAAAAUAAUUUUACUACCAAUUAAAUUCAAAAUUGAACAAGAUUUAAAUAAAUUAAUUAUUUAAAUAAAACUAGAAUAAUUUAUUUAAAAUUUUUAAAUAUAACAUAUCGAAAAAAAAUUCAUUUGUUUAGAUUAAUAUAUGAAAAUUAACUAAAAUUAUGAAUUUAAAUGUUGAAAUUUGAGAGCUUGGAUGUAACAGGAAGAAAUUAAGAAACUUGAAGAACUUGAAAAGAAAGUAACAAAUUAAGCUUAACUACCUCUAAUGGUGAAGUGAAACAGUGAUGGUUUGUGCGUGCAAUGGGGUACAAAUUUGGCAUUAUAUGCCAAAAUAUUUUGUUUGGCUUUAGAAUUUUUAAUGUUUAGGAAGCUAUAUUUGUUUAUUUAAUUACUCAAAUAUUUAAUUAUUUUUUAUUUUAUGUUAUUAUUGAAUAAGAUAUAAUAUUGUGUUAAUUUAGCUAUACUUUAAUUAAUUAAUUAAUUUAUUAGUAAGUAGCAUUGCUACAUUUAUAAGUUUUAUUUUUUAUUAAAUAAAUACUUUUUUUUUUCAGAUUCACGAAUUUUUACGGAUUUACAGAAAUAAAUCCAUAUCUAAUCCAUCGACUGUGGUUUUUUAAAUUUUCAUUCCAAUCCGAUCUACCAAUCCACAAAUUAUAUUUUUACGGAUCGGACGAAUUGAGCGGAUCAAAUUGGGUUCUGAACACCCCUAGAGAAUGAGAAUCAAAAUAAAUUAUUUACUUUAGUUGUGUGAAUCGGAAUUGGAAUAAAUUGUACUGUCAUUGAUGUGUUUACUUUAUCUUGGAAUCAGAAUGAAUAAUUUCAAAUUACUAAACUGACCUUAAUUUUUUAUUGUAAUAAUAAUAGUAGUAGUAGUAGUAAUAGUAGUAAUUUUCUAUUAUUAUUAUUAUUUUCUCUCUCUUUUGUUUUUAUUUUUUUAUUUUUCUCUUCUUCUUCUCUUCCUCUUUUUUUAUUUUUCUCUAAUUCAUCGAUACUUCUUCUUCUUCUUUUUUCUUUCGUUUUUAUUUUUAAUUUUUCCCUUCUUUAUCGUUCCUUCUUCUCCGUCCAUUCUCUAUCUUCAAACUCUUUUUACUUUUUCUCUUAUUCUUCAUUACUUCUUCUCCCUUUUUUUUUUUUUUCUCUUCUUUAUUAAUUCUUCUUCUUCUGCGUCUAUUCUUCAUCUUCAAAUUAUCAAGUGAAAAAUACCCACGGUGCCUUACAAGAAGAAUUGGUUUUGUUUGCUUCAAUUAUUUUUUGUAUUUUGUACUUUUGAUUGUUUCAAAAGAGGAUAAACUUGUAAUAAUGCAAUUUAAGUAGGGAUGUUUUAGACAAUUUUGGGUAUGAGAGUCUAAUUCCCAACCCCCCACUCCCUCGUAGCAGACUCCCAUUCUUCAUUCCUAACUUGGUGUUGGACCUACUAAAAUAAAUCCCAUUCCCCUUCUUAUUUCAAGAAGCAAACACGAUUUUGAUUUCAAUUCCCCAAUCCGAAAGUAAACGCACAAAAAUUGUACCCAUAUGAGAUUGCUUAUCCUCGAGUUUUUAGAUUGAAAAAAAAAAAGGAAAAAAGAAUGGCCCCAUUAGGAAGGGAUUUUAAGUGUUAGAUAAAGCCGGUGUUAACCAUUAGAAGGUCUCCGACCUUCAACUGUAAUAUAUUAAACCCAGAUAAAUUUACAUAUAAAUCACACAAACCAACAUGCCAAUCAAAUAAAUUACAUCAACUAACAACAAUUGACACAUUAAUUUUCAUAAUACAGAGGAUGCAGAAAAUUAAAAUGUUUUAUCUUUUCUCCUUAUUUGUGAAUUGGAAAAUGAAAAUGUUAAACAUACAGAAGAGUGAAACAGGAUGGAUAUAUAUACACACACACACACACACAGCUUUGGAGUUCAAUGUCAUCGUAUUGCUCCAAGAAGAUUGGCGCCAUCAAGCUUUGCACCUUCCAGAUGCUGUUUAAUCAUCACCAUAACACCUUCAGUAGACAUUAAUACAUAAUAGAAACACAAAAUUCACAUGAUCUGAAUGUCUGGUCUAUUUUACUUACCGUAUCUCGAAGAUUUACGUGCCGUAAAUAAGCUCUUUGAAGGUUGGCACCCUUUAAAUUGGCAUUACGUAGCUUUGCACCCUGCCGCAUAAAUGUUCGAAGUUUCAACAAAUUAAAGUCUCCUGAGAAAUACAUGUCACGAAAAAGUAGGGCUGAAACUUGCAUCUAAUGUACAAGAUUCAAUCAGGGGUGCUUGUCCCACAGUGAAAGUGUAUGGGGGAAAGUGCACUUUCACAAACCAAAGGGGCAAGAUGUGAUUAUCACACGAUUACAAAAGGACUGUAGUCAAGAGAGAGAACUGAACAUGCAGCUUGUAUUGAGGCCAUGAAAAUUGAUGAAAAGCAGUAACAAGCAACCAUUUUGAAAACACUUCAUAUGGUCGAAUCAAUAAAUCAAAGCUAAAAUGAUGUUGACGAUCGAUAGCUUUUAGGUGAUAAGAGUCUUGGCACUACAGUUAAAAUUAUUAUCUAGGAGUGCACACAUUAAUAAAAAAAAACACAACCAAUAAGCAUGCACUCUUAAUCAGCAUAUAAAUUAACAAGUUAGUUGCACCUUAUGUUGUUCCACAAACAGAUUGCUCGAACAAUUCACAAUCUUACCUUCAAAUUAGCUCCUUCCAAAUUAGCUCCCUCUAGGUUGGCAUUAGUAAGAUCAGCAGUCUGAAAAGUCAAGAGGACAAACAGAUUGCAAUUUGAUUAAAAUCUCAAAGUAGCAACAUUCUGCAUGAAAGAAGAGCAGCACAAUUGGCAACAUACAUUUUAGAUUAAGAGGAUGGGAUAAAAGCAAAAUUACAAGGACAUGAAGCAAAUGAGCCAUGUUUAGUAUGGCAAUUUUGACCCAAUAAUUGUGGCAGGUCUUGGAGAUAACAUAGGCAUACACAUAAGGCAGAAGCAAAUACUGUCGCAAACUCCUAGCUAACUACAAAUGUUCCAUAUAGAAAAAAACACCUGCAAAAGUAAGGGAAAAAGCAACAGAUAAAGAACUCAAGAUGCUAGACCUGUAAGUGUGCAGAUCGCAGGUCUGCUCCACAGAAGCUGCAGUCUAUCAAGCAAGCAUCUGCAAUGAUUUAAGAUAAAUUUGAAUCCAAAUGACAUUUUACCGCAAGUAGUUCCAGCCAUUUUGGGAACAAACAAGAAAUGCUAUUUUGUAUUCAUUGUAAUUCCUUAAGCUAAAUAACAAUCAUGUGCUAUCUUAACCAAGGUACAGUUGCAAAUUCUGAAAUUGUGAUGCCAUAGGUUGUUCUUAAUCUUUUUGAACUGAAUAUUGAAAAAAUAUUCCUUCAAUCAUAAAUGUUAAAUAAUUAAAAGAACUGUGAGGGGGGNNNNNNNNNNNNNNNNNNNNNNNNNNNNNNNNNNNNNNNNNNNNNNNNNNNNNNNNNNNNNNNNNNNNNNNNNNNNNNNNNNNNNNNNNNNNNNNNNNNNNNNNNNNNNNNNNNGGGGGGGGGGGGGGGGGAAUGAAUAAGCGGAUGCAUACAGAAAAUUAUGGAAAAUCUGUUAUGGAAAUAAUAUGAAAAUGGGUAUGCAUAACUACAUACUGAAUCUUGACUAAUUUCAAUUUAAUUCAGAUAAGAAAUUCCAGUAUGGGAAUUGCCUUGUAAAUUUGCACUCUGAAGAUUUGCACCAGCUAGUAAAGCUCCACGAAGGUUUGCCCCAGCAAAUUCACAUCUUCCCUAGGCAAGAUAAAACCCUUAAAAGGCAAUUUUGAAAAAUACAUAUAAUUGGGAGAAUAUCCAGUAUUGCUUUGACUCUCUUACUCACGCAAAGUUGCAUUGUGAAAAAUGGAACCCUCAGCAUCCACAUCCUGUAUCAAGAACAGACAGAUUCAGUAUGAUUAAUAUAACUGGUUGCUGGAAGACAGGACAAAAUCGCAUCUUGUCACUGUCAACUUGCAUGUUAAGAAUUAAACACGAAAACUGCAUGCUGUCCAAUUAUAAGAAACCUAUAAAAUUCAAAUCAACAUCAAUACUGGCUUAAGGAAGAUAUAAAAAUAAAAAUUAUACCAACCCGAAAUUUCGCAGAUUGAAGAUUUGCACGUGAGAAGAAAACAUUUCUAAGACACGCAUAGCUGAAGUCCACAAGUGAAAGAUCCUGGCCAUUUUAAUAAGAUAGCAUCAGAGGAAACAAUAUCUAAUGAAUAUAUAAUGUUCUUUCUUGCUUAUCUGAGAAUACUAAUGAGAUUAUCAAAAAAACUCUAAGCUACUGCUAAGAAGUCUUGUGUUACAUGAGUAUGAAUUGAGGAGGUAAAGAAGACCCUUCUCCAAUAAGUUACCAUAGAAGCCACAUAAAACCCUAAAGCAGUUACAAACUUACAAUGACCAGAAUAAACCACCCCAACUAUCUAUUGGCAAGUAAAAUCACUUCUCUGGAUUUCUGAAAACUAGCAAAACAAAUGCAUAAAUUGGCAAAUUCGAUGAUUUCCUCUGAAAACCAAAUUAUAGCAGACAUAAAACUUGGAAGUAUUCAUAGAAUAAAAAUCUUUCAAGCACCUCAAUUCAGUAAUUAUUACCAGCUUAGAAAGAUCAAGGCCAGAAAGAUUAAGUCCUCGAAAUCUGACUUUUUCAGACUGUAUACACUUGAUGAUAUCAAUGCGUGUUAGCUCAGUAUCUAACUCAUUAUCUUCCUUUCUCUUAUUUAUGACAGCAUGGAUUCUCUCAAUUAGUCCCUGAAAUGAAACACAUUAGAUGCAAACUAUUAUUUGAAAAAAGAAAUACAUUUUAUCCACUAACACACAUGGAUUUCAACAGCAAUCAUACAAUAAUUGAGGAAGGACGGUCAUAUCAGACUCAUCUGCCAAGAUUCAAUAAGCACAUCAAACUUGUUUACAUGUAAUUUCCACAUUCCACGUGAAUUUAUAAGGUCUGCCUAAGCAAACCAAAGAAGGCUACACUCAGUACUGUGUGUAUACUGCCUUACCUUUGCUGUUCCCCAGAUACCGUCCUGCAAUCCAGAUACUUAGCUGUGAAGUUUCAAGCCAGCGAAACCAUUUUAAAAGUACACAUGGACACAGAUACCAUUAUCUGAAUCAUCUUCGAUAACAAAUUAAAAUGCCCUAGCGUUCAAAAAACUUAGGAUCUCUUUAAGUGAAGUUCCUUUAAAAAAGUAGAAAAAAACUGAACAACAAUGUCAUGCUAAUAAAAGGUAAAAAAAAUAAAAUAAAAUAAAGCAUAAGGACAGAAGUUCACCAGGAGCAUGCCAGUAUAAACCAAAACGACCACAAAUCUCAACCAUAAAAUUUAAAGUAGUAAAGUAAAUAAUCAAGGGCAUGCAGUUGGCACAGGUGCUUCCAAAUAAAAUGAUGAUUCUUUUCAAACAGAAAAAAGAAAUGGAUGUUAAUAAACUAGAAGAAACCAUGUCUUACAAGUAAUUGAUAAUAUUCUGCUUCCCGUAGAAGCUCUAAAAACUCUGACUCUGUUAAUGUGGGGACAGCCCCAUCCCUUAACCAAUUCAGAAUAUGCCGAAAAUGUUUUCCGUCCCUAUCAACAAAGAUAUAGCCCUGCAAUAAUUCAAUAUGCUCAAAGAUAAGAAUCUGAAUAAUAUACCCAAGAGAAGUGCUUUUCCCUGGAAUAAUAAAAAGAAAAUAAGUCAAAACGUUUUUCUUAAUGGAAGAACACAAAGGAACAGCUCUAUGACUAACAUGAAAACCAUAAAUCAGAAUAAGAACCCAAAACUGGUCAUUUGGAGUUUCACCAGAUCAAAAAGAUCACAUGGAAAUAAAAUUGUGAAAAUGGGAUUAUUUAUGCCGAGGUCAUGGCUAAACUGCAAUCAUUACUCCAUUUUUGGUAGAAGGAGAAGAAGAAAGAAGAGUAGGUGAGUCAUCAUUCUUUCAGGUGAGUCAUCAUUCUUUCUCUGUGAUUAAUUGAUAUGAUGGAAGUGUUGUAGAUAUUAAUUUGAUAGUGAUUCCUCCCUUCAAAAGAAUUCAUUCCUUUUUUUAUUAUUUCACAAAGUUUAACUAAGACUGAGUUUUCUCAAUUUGAAGGCAUCGUGCACUCUACCCCUUUCUUUUCCUCACAUUGCUUCUUCCCAAUCCCAAAGGGAAGAAAUCAAGAAACAAUUACAAUUUUUAACUAUUCACCAGCAAAAACAAGGCAAAGAAAGAUGCUGAGUGUAAGCAAAAAUAAGAGAGUUAUACACCUCAGAGUCUUGGCACACAGUAUGGCGACCGCUGAACAUAGCUGCAAGCAUAGAUUCAGGCUCACGACGAGUCAGAGUAUCAAUUGUUGUAUAAAAUUUCUUUCCCCCUGGAUAUUAAUACAUAAAAUAUAAAUUUGUUCACUUAAAAGCAUGAAUUGUGCAAAUUUGUCAAUAAUGUCAUUCUUUCACAAACGUUCACCGAAAUGUAUAACAAUAAGUGCAUCAUAACAUAACUAAACGGCUUAAGAACUGCGCAGAUAUUACAUACAGUAGAGAAACAAGAAAUAGAAAAUGAGAUUUGCCCUUUUUAAACAGAAAGCAAUCAAAGAGUAAACUAAAGAGCUAAUAAUUCACAAAAUUCAGUUGAUUAAACUCAUUUACAAGUAAUUAGCAACAAAAUCCAAGCUAAAUAAAAAUAAUGAAAAUUAGGUUCUUAUAACAUCCGUCAAUUCUAUGAAAGUUUACCACGAUCAGCAACAAAUAGAUAAAUCGCAAUAAAGAAAAACCGACGACAUGUCGGUUGUGUAGUGCAUAAGUAAAGGAAUUUGCAGAUGAUGUAAAGAGAAUGAGGGAUAGUAACUGACCGAUGUUGAGACGAACCAUUGAAGACGAAUCGGAGUCCUUCGCCAUUGUCGAGUGUAAUGACUUGUCGUCUUACUUGCGCUCAUAGGUAUUUAUAUCAUAGCUGACACUGUUCGAAGGACAGCAAGGAUUUGGUGGGCACAAAUGCAUUUUGGAAAUUGGGCUUCGGCCCAAGAAAUCGAAAAUCAGAGGCUUUUUUUUAAAAAAAAUUUAAAAGGAUUAGAAUGUCUAUAAAUUAAUAGGGCUGAGACCAUCUUAAAUCUAUUAAGUAAAAGAGAUAUUAAAUAUUUUAUUAAUUAAUAAUUUAUUAAUUUACAGAAUUAUUUAUAAUUCAAUUAACAUACAUUUAAUAACUAAACAUUCAAUGUACAUAAUUUCUGAUUACAAUUCAAAGCACUAACAAUACUUCAUAAUUUCUUAUUACAAUUCAAGAAUUCAACCUCAUAGCUUUUAGAUGCAAUAAGAAAAAUAAGAAAUAAGAUUCAGUUAUAUUUAAAUUUUAAGAAAAAAACAAUAAAAUCAUAUUUUAUGUAAUUAAAAUAUCAUAGUCAACUACAUUUGUAAUUUCAACAAAUUAUUACUCUAUGAUUUAAAUGAGACCACAAAGUUAUAUAAGAUUUUAUCGAAAUUAUUAAUUUAAUCCAUUAGUCCAUGUCAAGACCUUGAAAAUUUAAUAAUUAUAUAAUAGAGAUUAUUAAUUUAUCGAGUAUUAAUUUAUAGAAGUUCUGAUUGUAUAUUAUUUUAUAUUAAUAAAGAAUAAAGUAGCAUUCUUUUUUAAUUCCGAAGUAAUAAAAUUAUGGCUAAAUUAAGAGAGUAGAUAUAUUUUAUAACUUGGUUUAAUAACAUCACGCGCCUCCCUUGUAGUUUUGCAGCUUUGAAGCUUUAUAAUGAAUCCUAUUAGCUUUGGCUGGAAAGUUAUAUUGUUAAAGAGAGUUUAUAUAUUAAACAAGGUGAUCUAAUAUUUCCAAAACUAAAUUUGGGAUCAAAAAUAGAAAACAUUUGCAUGUUUUUACCUUUUGGAAGAAUUACUUGAUAAGUGCUUCACAGAAAAAUGCUUGCUAUUAUAGAGCACCCUAAAAAAAAUCCUUAAUAAUUGAGGGAUCAUAAUAAAGUUCAAUUCUAAAUCUGUCAGAUAGAUCGAAAGUAACAAACCAUAUAUAUUUAAAUCUAUUUAGUAAUCCAGGGUUACAAGCCAAGCGUGCAAUAGCCAAUUCUGAAAAUCAAAGCUCAGCCUAUGCUCUCUGAGCACAAAUAAGAUCUGAUAUAUACAUAUCGAAUCCUCCAUUAUGUGGAGUGAAAUUUCCAUCGUGUACGGUGUACCUAACAAUGAGAAAGCAUGGCAGCAUAAAUUCAUCUUCCAUGUUAUUCUACUUAUUAGUACUGGUUCCCUCAUAACUUCUCCAAAUCGGGGAGGUCUGCAAUGUGUAAAGCACGUAAUCAGAUAAAAGAAAGAGAGCCAAAAAAAAAAAAAAAGGUAACAGCCAAAAGAUUAAAUUUCUUUGAGAAAUAGAAAAUGGGAGCUUUUGGCAUAGGCACAGAAUAGAAAGUAACAGAGUCAUUUACAGUUGUUCAGAAUAUGCAAGCUGAAAACAACUUUGAAUGCAAUGGACAAUUCCUCCAACAAACAAUCGAAUUGGAUUGUGGAAGAGACAAAAGCUUAAUGAGGUUAUGGUUUUGGCUAGGUGAACUCAAAAUUCUUUUAUAGACCAAGUAGGUAAAAACAAAUCCCAUAUAGAUGGAUGAACCUCAUACCAUGAACAGUUAAUCGCGAACACUUGCAGGCUUAUGCACACGACUAUGAAGAUACUAAGGGUUUCACCGAUGGUAAGUGAAAAAUAUAUGAUGUAUAAUUUAAAUGGAAGCACAUAGUUUCGGAUUGAAUUCAAGGUUAAAGUUCCACAGACAGACAGAAGAGAUGAAGCUUAAAAACUUACAGAGCAUUCCUUCAUCAUCACUGCUUUCAUCAUUUUGGCCAACAUGCUGAAAAAAGAAUAUGAUUCAAGUUAAAUGAUUGAGCAACAAUAAAAAACGUGCAAAAUUAAUGCUCUCUCCACAAAAAUUUCAGUCUAUAUUGGUAAGAAGAAACAGGAAGAAAAAAUUACCUCAGCAUCAUCGUCAUUGGAAGCCAAAUCAGCUGUAAAGACCACAAAAUGUUUGGUUAGAACCAGUGGAAGUCUUACUCUAAAAUUUUUAAUUUUUGAAUUUCGAAAGAUCUCGUAAUGACAAAGAUUUUCAUAUCCAGUGACCAAGUUUUGAAAAUUAGAAUACGGAAUGACAUCAACUAAAUUCACUAAUAUAAGCUAGAGGAAUCCCUAGUAGAUAUAGCGCACAUGCACACAUGAUAUGCAUCCGAAUACACAAUAAUAAAUUAUCUCAAAGUCAAUAAGAAGCCAAAAUUAGAGAUAAACUUUUAGCCACUAUAAGGAAGACUGAUAUUUGCAGUGUGAUUACAAUAAACAAACAGAAACUUCACUACCCAUAAGUAAAACAAAAUAAAUAAAGGAUAAUAACUAACCAAGAAAUGGAAAAGCUCACAUUCUCUGAACACGCACCCCAAAAAGAAAGAAAGAAAUAAAUGUUCUCAUUGGAUCUGAAGCACAAGCAAUCCACUGACAUCCUUCUAUAAUUAGGUAAUUUAAAGGGGUUAAGCUCACAUCUUUUACGGAAGUAAGAAGAGAAUUAACAACCUUCCAGAGGAUUUAGGGAAAUACCACGAGGCAAGAAAAAAGAAAUAUCCUUCUUCAAUCUAGAUAUCCUGAUACUGCUCACCAUCUACAACAGUCUGUGGCUUAAAAAGCAGGUCACUGAUCUCUCCCUCCCUCUGGCACCAUUUUCUCUCAUGUCUCAUUUUUCCCUUCCUGCCAACUCCCACUACAGUAUUGAAACCUAUUCUAUCAACUCUUCCCCCUCCAAUAACAAGACCAAAACCAAUUUUACUCGCCGGUUAGCUAGGUAGUAAAUGGAAAUUUGUGAAUCUGUCAUUCAUCCGUAGAAACAAACCAGAACUGCAUAAAUUCUCUUCUCUCCCAACAGCUUCUUUUCUCCAGAAAUAGGCACAAGUAUUUGACAUGGAAACAGUUUAUCUAACAUGGCCACCUUUAAAGACAAAGACAUACUAAGGACGUGGUUUUAGAUACGGAUACAAGAAACAAUCACAAAAUGUAAAAUCUAUACAUAUGAUAUUAAUUUCCAAUGGAUACAGCAAUUCAUUCUUUGACAUAACUUCAUCAGAUUACUAGGUUUGAUUAGGUUAUACACACAUUUAUUCAUUUAUUGAAUCUACAUGCACUUAGAAUGAGAGGUACCUAUAAAAACAAGUUACCAGAAAACAAUACAGCUAGAAAACAUUAAUCUAAGUAGUUCUAUAGGUUUAACUAACUGCAGGAAAAAACCAUUGAUUUUGUCCGCCAGAUUAUCGAGAUCCUAAUUCUGGUAAAAAGAAAAUGAGAUAAUAGAAAAUCAAAAAUUAAAUAGACACAAAAUGAGAAAUCAAGAUCAUAUGGCAACUAAUAUAUAGCAUGGGCUGCAGCUAACAAGCAAUAUAAGCCAUGAUAUUAUGCCAGAUACAAAUUUUGAGAUCCAAGAGAGAUCAAGAAGCAUGAAUACCACUAAAAUAUCGAAAGAAGUGAGUGCAGAAGGAUAAGAAAUCAGGUUGAUAUUCUUCAUACUUUGGAUCAACACGUAGUGAUGCAAUAAACUUGUAAUUAGCUUCAAAUGUAUAGGCUACCAUGUCAACAUUUCCGAAAACACACAAGAUUGUGCUGGAUUCAUACAUAGUACAUAUAUAAAAAAACAAUCUGCUUCUAAACUUCAUGAGAACAUCGAAUAAUGAACUUACAAUUUGAUCCCUCAUCAUCUUCAUCGCACCAUUUGUUCCAAUCAACCUUAAUGUAAGGUGCUGGUUUCUCUUCUGACUUGAGUAGCCUUUUCCACCAACCUUUCUCUUCUUUUUGGACCGAGCAUAUUAUGUUCCUUAAGCCAACUUUAGUCUUACAUUUCUGCACCACCAGCAACAAAACUCAAAGCAUUACAAAAGAGGUAUAUUUAGCCGCUCUUGACUCGAGUGAGAGAACAGGAUAAAUAGCCUAGGUAUAUCCACAUCCAUGUUAUGAGAUUGAUUAUGCAACAGCUAACUUUAAUAUAAAGCUUUUGCUUCAACAAAGACUAAAAUGUUUGUAAUUGUUAUGCUUUUGGAGCUAAAAUGUUUGGCAAACACCCACUUUUACUCUGCACCUAAUAUCUACCACCCACCCACACACUAAGUCUCUCGUUUGGUACAGCUAUUUAUCAGUAGUGGCUUUAAGCCACAACAUUUAAAGCGAAUUUACCCUAAAAUUUUACAAUGAAAAACCUAUACUACCUUUAACAUUGUUGUCAAAAUUAUUAUUAUAAGUAAUAUUUACCAAACACUAUCAACUUCCAAUUCAUAUCAAAGAGCUUUCACUCCACAAUAGCCGUGUCUUCUUAAGCCAGAACAACACAAUACCAAAGGCCUUAAGCUAGUGAUUUGAUUUCACAACAACUGCAGAUCAAGCCUCAAUCCCAAACAUACAUAAAUCAAAUGCAGAAAGCAAAAAUUUAACAAUAUGUUUGGUAUACUAAAUGUCUUUCAUAGUUUCAUUUCACAGGGUAUUUAGACAUGCAAUGAUAAAUUGGAGCAAUUUCAAGAACCGAAUUGACCUCAGGUAAAAUUUUGCCAAAAAGUUCCAAGCUGAAGUCGUAAAGCUCGCCUUGGACUCCGACGGCCGAGAAGCCAAAAAUCCCCUGAGGCUCGCAUUUCACAGAAAUGUCUUUCGCAUCGGGUAAUGAAAUGGUAAGGUAUACUUUAUCGGAGCGCUGAGCCCAAAGAACCUCCGGAUGGCGACUGAACAUAAAAGAAAUAAUAAUAAUAAUAAUAUUAUUAUUUUUUAUUGUGACAAUUUUGAACUAAUAAUUAGAGACAUUUAACAACAAUAUUGAUUAAUAUUGGAGAAGAAAAAUAAGGUUACAAGAGAGAAUCAGAAAGAUUACCUCAUUCUGGUGGAUGAUUGAAAACGGUGGGUCGAUUGAUGAACAGAAGUGUAACUGUCUGGGAGUGAGAGUGACUCUGCUGUUUACUGGGUAGAGUGUGCUUACUCGAAGAAAUUGAAAGUGAUAAUCUCGGGCAAGCCAACACGUCGAUUUGGUCAACAGUGGUCCAACAAACCAGGAACUAGGUUUUUUUUUUUAAAUGAUUUUUUUUUUCAGUAUUAUAUUGCCCCGCCCGUGGGCUAUUACAUUUUGGCCCUUUUGGGGACCCCUCGUUCUCUUACAAGAAGGGAAUAUUCUUUUCCAUCCACCGGUUUGUAGGCAGAGUACAUAUACUCUUCGAAAUUAAGGACAAAUUUCUGAAUCGUGCCGCAUUAGAAUUAAAUUGAGUCUCAAAAGAAUUUUGGUUAUAAGUAUAUCGUUCAAACGGUAAUAUAUUAAAAAAAAUAAUAUUUACUACAAUGUAGACCUAUCGGGACUUUGAAGCCCAGACCAAUUCUUGAGUCUAGCCUAAUAACACCUCAACAGAUCAAAAUUGAAAUCCAACUUAAAUUUCAAUAUUGUGUAGGGAUCUGCCUUAAUUUAGAUAUGUCAAGACCUGCCUUAGGCAUCAAAGUGAUCUAUCUUAACAUAACUAAGACUUUCUUUAAACAUCACAAUGAUUUAUCUUAACGUAGUCAAAUCUAGCCUAAAAAAAUCUAAAGAAGGAAAAAAGAAAUUAUUUUCACGUAUUGAGAGACUUAAAUUCUUAACCUUAUUCAUAAGAAAAAAAAGUGUAUUACUUAACUAAAUCGUGACUAAAAAUUAUAAUUAUUAUUUUUUGUACAUUUAGCUUUAAAAAAUCAUUAUAUAUAUAUAUUCAUAUAAGUUUUGACAUAAUAUACAUACCACUUAUUUGUUUUUUAAAUUAUACGAGAAUGAAAAAACUCAAGCAUUAAACACCAACUUUUGUUUCAUGCUAUCAAUCAACUUGAGAAAUUUUAUAAUAUAUCGGAAGUUCUACGUCACAAUUUAAUACGAAGCCUUCGAUUAAUAAUAAUUAGACACAUGACAAUAGAUGCUAGAGAAAUUUUAAAUUCCCUCUUUUCAUUAUCCCUCCAAAUUUAGAAUUUCAAAAAAUUAGAGAAUAAAUGUUGCUUGCUCUCUUUGUUAUCUAAUUCUAAUUAUUAUUUUUUUCUCUCUCUCUCCAAUCAAGUUGCUAGCAUUUUUUAAAUCUAUUGAAGAAUAAGAAGAAGGUUUUUGUCGAUGAAAUGAUUUUGGCAGCCUUUUUUACCCAAAGCUAACAUGAUUGCUGCGACUACCAAUGAAGAAAAAGAUGUGUUUUGCUGGCGAAGAAGAUGAUUUUUGAAGCAUGAGUGGCUGCCGUUUAUUUUUUUCCUUCAUAUUUUUCGAUGUAGUGGCUGUCCUCAAGUUUUAUUCAUUUACUUUUCAGUUGGCCUACUAUUUAUUGGCAUAAUGAAAAAUUUUAUUUUAAUAAGCAUUUAUAGAUUAAUUUGAGGAGGUUUCUUUUGCAAUAUUAGUGUGGUUUCUGCAUUGGUAUGAUUUAAAUUACGAACUUGCUACAAUCUUUAAUUAAACUGUCAAAAGUAAUUUAAAAAAUCUUUAAUUAAACCGUCAAAAGUAAUUUAAAAACUGACAGUAGAUAGAUUAGAGAUAGGCUUGACAAUUUAGCCCGACUCUAUUUUUAGUCUGAUUGAUCCGAUCCUAAUUUUUAAGACUUUGGCCUGAAUUUUUUGAUUUCGGGUCGGGUUCGGGUCAAAAUUUUAAGGCCCGAACAAAUUUAGGGUCAGGGUCGGACUUAAAACCAACCCGACCCGACCCUAUUUAAAAAAAAAAAAACUAACACACGCACACAACACAUGACAGUUCACUCUCUCUAAAUCGUAAAUCACACACACAAAAUACACUUACACAAAUUCACAAAAACCCUAAGCCAGCCACCCAGCCUGCUGCCGUCCUAUCAGCCAACAUCGUGACCGUCCGCCGCACGCCAGCCAAUCAGCCGUCGUCUCGUCGUCGCAUGUCUCACCAAUCAGCCAUCGUGACCGUCUGCGACGCUGCGACAUGAACUUGAACCAGCCGCCCUUUGUCGCCGUCCUGCCGCAUCCGCCUGCCAGCCAACGAUCAAUGCACACAGUUGAAUUGUGGGGUGGGAAAUGGUUUCGAUAGGGUCGGGCUCGACCCGACCCUAACUAUAAAGAGGUAGGGCUUUUUUAGGGUCGGGUUUUAAUUUUUUGUUGAUCGGGUCGGGUCGGGUUUGGCCAAACCCGAGCCCGACCCGACGUUUUGCCAUCCCUAAUUAGAGAUGAAGAUUGGAGAGAGAGAAAAAUAUAAUUUGAAUGAGAUAAUAAAGAGAGAAGAAAUUCUAUAAUACAUCAUAAGUAAUAUAACUCAUUGAUGUAUGCAUGAUAUAUGUAAUUAACCUUAAUAUAACUAACACUUGUAUGGUGAUAUUUCAAAAUAAAUAUACAUAUGUUAUAAAAUCAUUUACUUAUUGUAUGACUGACAUUUUAUUUUUGAUGUAUUGUACAAUUUCUCAGAAGAGAGUAGUAUUUAUUAUCUCUAAUUUUUUGAAAUUCUAAAUUUUGGAAGGAUAAUAGAAAGAGAAAUUUUAAAAAUUUUUCAACGUAUAAUGCCAUGUAUCUAAUUAUUAUUAGUCGGUGUUCCACGUUAAAACGUAAUAUAGAACCUCUGGACCUUACUGUAUAAUGUACUGUAGAAUUUCCUGAUCACACACUUUCUCAGUUGCAAAAGAGGUGGGCAUAUGAGUUCCUUACGGGGAUUUAGUGUGAAUCCACGCAAAGCCCAUAUAGAUUUUUCCGGUUAACCGCUAUGGCAUCCUAGUUUUAAACUCAGUACUAAAUUUACAGAUCCAUUUAAACCCCCCAAAUCAGUCUCUCACCGUCUCAAGUCUCAAACAAAAAACCUGACCGGAACCCAAACCGCCAAAUCCGAUUCGAUGGUGGACUGUGCUAAAACCCCUAAAAUUCCAAGACUGACAUGCGGUAAAGGAGAUGGUGAUAGACUUAGCAAUCUUCCGGAGCACAUCAUUUAUCACAUAUUCUCGUUCAUGGAAACAGUUGAUGUUGUUAGAGCAAGCACUGUUUCGCGAAGAUGGAGGUACUUGUGGCUUUCCGUUCCUUAUUUGAACUUCGACUAUCACACAAUUUGGUCAGACCCGGAAAGUAGAUGGUCUCGUAGGAAAAUCAAUGAUAAGUUCAAAGAUUUUGUCAACUGGGUAAUAUUUUCUCAAAAUGGGUCUGUUAAUAUUCAAAGAUUUCGUCUUUGCUGCUGGGAUUAUUUAGCAAGUUACGAUAACGAUAGAACGAUUUACAGAUGGGUUUCUGCUAUGGCACGUCGAAACGUGCAAGUGCUUGAUCUGGCUAUAGCUUCACUAUACCCAUUUGAGUUUGACUUGCCACAUAGUCUUGUAACUUGUGAUUCAUUGGUGGAACUGAAGUUGAGUUUGAGCUUUCAUGUUCACCGAUGUUUUUUAAAGCUGCCUACUGCUGCUGGUUUUAUUGGGCUCAAGUCUCUUGAUUUACAAAGUGUUGCGUUGGAUGAUAAUUUGUUUCCUGAAUUUAUUUCAAAUCUUCCCCUGCUUGAGAAUUUGUGUAUGUUGUCAUGUGUUUUUCCUGAAUUGAAGGUUCUUGACAUUUCUUCCACUAAUUUGAAGAAUUUGGCUCUGGAAUCCAUUGUUGGCAAUGAUAAUGCUGGCAAUGAUGAUGCUGGCAAUGAUGAUGCUGGCAACUACAAGCUUAAGAUUGCUUGUCCAAAUCUUGUGUCUUUUAAUUAUAUAGCUUUAGCUCCAUGGUUACCUCACUUUGCUUUUGAGAGCUUAAACUCCUUGCAAAAUGCAUUCAUUGACCUGGAUGAUUAUAACGAGGAUGACAUGGAGAACGAAAGAUGUCAUGUUUUAUCUACAAUCUUCAAUGACUUUCGUGAAGUUAAAGUUUUGAAAUUAUCAGAAGCCAUUCUUCUCGAGGUAUGAUUUCAAAUACAUUCAUUGCACCAAAUCAUGAUUCUGCCAGAACUUGUCUACACUUUUUUAUUUUGACAUUAGAAAUGAAGCUUAAGUAAACUGAAUCUACUUUCUUUGUUUGGUAAAAUAAGAAUUCUAUUGAUUAUGGAACCUUCCUAAAUGCUAAUUUGUUCUUUAGACUGUGUAUAAGUCAUUGUGACAUUGUAUGAAGUCUCAUUUAUCUGAGUAAUCAAUUGUUAUUGAUGUCAAAGACUAGAACUCAUUGGUGACUUGAGUUUAUGUAUAUUAUCGUUUGUUAGAUUUUUUGUGUGAUUAUUGCACUUAACUUGACUAAUGUAUUCUCUUUCUUUUUGCCAUUGUUCCUCCAGGUUCUUGAUCCUGAUCCUGCUCACGAAGAACCAGCAUUUUUUUCCACUUCAUUCAAUAAUUUGAAGUCCUUAAUACUUUCUGCAGGUCCGGGUGUAUGUCUCAUGCCAUCAAUGCUUAGGUUGCUCAACUGCUCUCCAAAUCUAGAAGCUCUUGCAAUAUAUUCUCCUAAGGUAAUCUUAACACCAAAAACUAUUCCAUUUGUUAGAUACCGUCGCUUCUAUCCAUUUUUUUUAAAAAUCAUAUCUCCCAUUUAUGUGCUAAAAUUUUAAUUUUGUUAAAGUGCAACUGGGCUUUGCUUAAAUUAUCGCAAUAGAGUUGAAACCUGAAAGUAUUUGUGAUAUAUUAUGUUUACCGCUUAGAGCUUAAAGUAAAUGUUAAUCUUGUGGCCUCUUGGUUGUUCCCAUGCUAUUGCUUGUUGAGCAGAUGGUUGAAUUUAGAGUCAAUCAAUCGGUUGUGUUCUUCUGAGGUUUGUGCAAGUUUUGUAAAAGAGCAAAGUUUAGUAUUUGUUUAGUUUGUGAAAAUGAUAUAGCUUUUUCUAAUUCAUCUUACUCUAUUCUUUGCUUAAAAAUGAAUUCUCCUUUUGAUUUGAUUCCUUGACUGCAUUUCGGUCUGUUUUCUCUUGGCAGCAUCGGCGUGGAUAUAAUGCUUAUAGGAAAACACCGAACAAGGCUGCUAUUUCAUGUUUGACAAAUCAUCUCAAGACAGUUGAAAUAAAACAUUUUAGCGGUGAUAUGAAUCAACUUGAAAUUGUGAGGUUUCUUCUAAGGAAUGGACAUGUAUUGCAGAGAAUGAGUAUUAGAUGGGUGGCAGAUGUUAAGAAUCAAGGGAAGAUUAUCUCAAGGAUAAUGAAGUUUCGGAGAUCAUCUUCAAGUGUUGUGCUGAAAUUCCUAGAUCCUAAGCCAGCUGAUGAUUUUUCAGAUUAUUUAUUUGAUGAUGAGCAAAAGAACUAAAAUUAUGUUUAAAUUAAAAAAAAAAAAAGUGGUUUAAGUGUAUGUUCGAAUUAAAUAGUCUUUUGGAUUUGUAGAAACUGAAAGGAGUACAGUGCCAGUCACUGUGGCAGCCUUAUGUUUUGUUUGAAAAAAUUCGGAAGCUUCUAAAUUGUUAUAUACCUCAAUUCUGAAGUCGUUAGUAUGUAUAUUAUAAGCAAUACAUAUGUUCCAUUUGUCAUAUUUUAUUUUGGCAUUACGAUUGUUUUGUCUUGAUUAAUAUUGAUUAUAAUUUGUUUAACAUUUAUCUGGCAUAUGUAGAAUUAUACUUUAUCUGAGUAGAUGACGCUGCUGCGUACAUCUUCAGGACUCGGUCAUAAACUGUUUAUCUCUGCGUCUGUCUAGCAUCCAUCCACGUAUGACCUGUCGGCUUUUUGCCCGCAAGCAUACAGUUAGGGGUGGUAAAAAUAUCUGUCCGGUCUGGAUUCGGUUCGCACCCGGAUGUUUUAUCCGGCCCGGUCUUGGGCAUCAUUUGAUAAAUUCGGAACCCGAGUUUUAUUAAGCGCCUUGGCCGUACAGCAGUAUAUUAUUUUAAAUAUUUAUAUUUAUUUGACUCAUUUAUUACAUAUAUAUAAAGUUUUAGACACUUAAAGUUUAUAUUUUCAUGUCAAAUUUCAUUAAAAUAAAUUUAAAACUUAUAAAAUUACCAAAAAAUAAAAAAUAUAUACAUAUAUAAUAUUAAAAAAUAUAAAAUCUGGGUACCCAAAUUAAAACCCGGCACAAUCCGACCCAGGCAUCUAUGCAUCCGGGUCGGGUCCGGUCAUUACGAUACCCCGACCCAGCCCAGGGUUUUGCCAUCCCUACAUGCAGUGUAUAUGAAUUGCAGUUCUUGUACGGACAACAUGUCAUCCAUAAAACUCGAGUUAUGUUCUUUUUAAUCUUUAGUUUAGAUUACAUUUUGCAAAACUAAUAAACGAUAGAGCUCCUAGCAAGGUCAAUAGUUAACUGCGAAUCCAGAAGAUCGGAAUGCUAUACCUUUCAAACAUGCAUUUCAAAGCCAUCUGCGGAAAUGGAAAACAAGCAUUUCAAACUCGUUGUUAAAACAAUGAUAAAAGUAAUUUUAAUCCUAAUUUUUAAUUCCAGGCAUGAAGCUAACUCAUAUACAAAGAGAUAUCAAGUAAGCAGAGGCGAAAGCUAAAAGCUUUGGUUACAGGGGUCGGUGUGAAUAAUGUAUAUAUCGUUUAGACAUAUUUUUGAAUAUCUAUUUUAAUUUAGGGGAUAUUAUAUAUAUUUAAAAAAAAUUAAAAUUUUUACGGGAGCCAUGGCUUACUAUAGUCUCCAUUAAGAUUCACCCUCCCUACUUUUCGUACUUCAUUAAAGUAUAGGAUAAAUAUUUACAAUAUUAUAAAUAGAUUUUAUAAAAGCAGUCCAUAUAUGAAAGUCCUUCUGCACUCUGAAUUAAAUAAAAAUAACGUGAGACUAACAAUUUAAGAGUCUUUUUUGCAACGUAUAUCGUGCAGUGAUGUACUCUAUCGACGGAGGACUCUCUUCAUAUGCUUUUUAUUUUUCCAUGCCUGAUUAUAAAUAGGAUCACUCUAUGUUACAUUAAACGUAACGUACACACACUCACAACAACAGUAACAAGUCCCAUCAUUAGAACUGUUGCUGUGAGUGCGUGUAUGUUACGUUUAACGUAACAUAUCACUAGCCUUAUAAAUAACAUCACUUUUAAGGAUUUUUACAAAUUUUUAUUACAACCGUAACUUUUGUCCUCAUACAAUAACGGUGUCCAUUGUCCACAUAUAAAAAGUUCAUCAAUAAACAUAUAACCUAAUUAAAAUUCGUGACAAAAUCCAAAGGAAAGAAAGCGUGGAGUAAUAUAUAUAACAAAGGCAUUGAGCAUACACCAGGUGUAAUUUGCAUUGCAUGGCCACCCUUACGUGGCAGUUCCGCCGAUUAACACAUCUUUAAAAGUUAAAGCCCCCCUCUCUCCUUGUUAAGGGCGUUUCAACACAACACUCAUCAAUGCAAGCAAAGAGACAGUGAAGGAAAAAUUAAGAAACCAAUAUUGUCACUUGGAAGAAAGAAACAAUCAUUACAUAUAUAAUACGAUGGAUACUAAGAACAACAGGAAGCAUUUGUCCUGCAUUGCCAACGACGUCGUUCACAGAUGUGCACUGUACGUAUCUCUCUCUCUCUCUCUCUCUCCUUUUCUUUUUCUCCCCGAUCACUUUGUUUUCUUUAUAUAUACGAAUGUAUGUAGAACGUAGUAGGUUUUGUAUAAAUAUCUGUUGCACACAUUAUUUGAUGUGCAUUUAAAUAUAAUUAAUGGUAAUUGAGAUGACACACAAAGACAAUGCAAAAAAAGAAAAAAAAAGAGAGAGUAAAUUAAUGAAUUUGCCUUGAUCCAGUUAAUUUGUGUGCAUUUAGCUGACUGUAAGGUGGUUUCGAGUGUGUUUUUGUUUGGCAACUUUUCACACAAAAGCACUUUUGGGAAGCACUUUAUGUAAUGUAAGUGCCUCUAAAAACUGUUUUAUGUAUUACUGCCAAAUGCAGUGCAGAGGUUACAAUGGGAGGGUCGGUUUUAUACCUGUUCUUCGAGACUUAAUUUCAAUAGGAGAUUGAAAUAUUUAUGAGAAUUAUGUUGUUAGCAGACUUAAUUCUUUUGGAGGAAUUCAUUCCAUCGUAGACCACUCAAUGAAUUUGGUCGAUUGAGAUUAUUUGAGUGCAUGCUUCAAAACUGGAGCAUUAAUUCUUUGACAUAAAUGGGCUUUAACAUAAGGCGCGUUCGCUUAUUCCAUUUAUUCAAGAAGUUGGCACUCAAUUUUUUAUUACUAGCCUUUAGAUGGCCAGCAGCCUUUUGUAGCCCUUUCUAGUUUCUACUAAAGUGGUUAUGUGCAAUAGUUCUAUUCUGGGUUGCAAAAUUAUUGUGUCAGUAGAAUCCACAUACAUUAUGUACUUUUCUGUAUUUAAUUUCAAGAGGCUUAGUUAUAUCAUAGUUUUAGGAUUAUAAUAAGUCUGUCCGUUACCAUGUUAUUGGAAUUUUUUUUUUUUUCUAAAUUAGUUGGACACAUUAUUGGAUUGGUCAAUAAAGGAAAGCAUUUGGCAAGUACUUGGUUUGAUAUUAACAUAUAGUUGCAGUAAAGCACAUUAACUUGUGCAUCCUGAAAUUCUUGCAGGCAAGUAAAGGCUUCUGAGGAUUCAUUGGUGGAGGGGUUUGAAGCUGAAUGGAAGCCUGAAAUCGGACAGUAUUCGAAGAAAUUUGUGGAAUAUUGCAGCAUAAAGGCUCUUACUAACAUGUGCCAGAGCAUAGAAGAAAAGAUUAGUGAUGGAUCAUUUAGUCGACUCACAUUUGAUAUGAUGCUUGCCUGGGAAAUGCCUAGUGCCGCCGAUGAGGAGUCUCAUACUGUAAGCAAUCAUCAUAAUACUCAUAUCCUAUAUUUAUUUCAUGGUCCACCAAAUCAUUAUGAUAUUAUCCCAAUUUUGGUGUGCCUAUCUUCUCUUCAAGUUGCUUCUUCUAUUUCUUUUUCAUUAUACAUUCUCUGGUUCUCAUCAGUUUUCGCUCCAAUUAAAAGAAGCAUGAAUUCUUUCACUUAUCUGCUGAAUCUGUUCUAAUGAUUGGGCAAUAGAUUUUUAUUCCUCUCUGUGGUUACUACUAUUUUGAUCUUGUGCAGGAGUGCAUGGGAAAGGAGAAUGAGGAUAGAAAGGCUGUAAAAGUCACUUCAGAUCAUGAUGAAAUUCCUCUCUUCUAUACAGACAUCAUGCCUCUUCUAGUAAGAGCGUCUCUUUCUGAUCAUUUGAGUGCUAAUGUACCGACCAAGCAUUAGCCUUCACUGAAACUCGUAUAUGAUUUCAUGAACAUUGAUUAAUUGUUAUUUUUGCUAACUACUCUAUGAGAUCUGAUCAAAUUAGAUAUAUAAAUGUUGCGAUUGAUCUUGGAUUUGCUUUAUAUUUGGCCAUCAAUUAUAUUUUACUCUUCAUUUUUAUAUUUGUUUGGUUUGAUAAUUUACCCUCUGGCCCAUAUAUAUGAUGGUAGGUUAAUAAUGAACCGAGUGUUGGAGAAGAUGCAUUUGUAUGGAUGGGAUCCUUAGUUCCUCUAGUUUCAGAUGUUAUUAAUGGGAGAUUUACAUAUGAAAUUCUGACAGCGCCAACAGGAAACCGGCUCCAUUCUCCAGCAUAUGAUAUAUUUCUAAAGGAGAUGGACAAGUAAUUCUUCCAAUUCUUCCAUGCAGCAAUUUUACCACUCAGAAACUUUAAGUGCCGUUUGGUUUUGUGACAUGCAAAUUAUCAUGGAACACUCAAAAUGAGUUGUUCUUAACAAUUUCUAGAAUUUGCAAACUCACUAACCAUAUCUGAAAAUGCAGAAGCAUUAUUACCACUUAUUGAUAACAAUAUCUCUGCUCGACUUGUUUGGGUGCUUUCAGCCGUUUUUCAUUUUCUUUUGGAAAUCUUGAUUUCAUAGAUGCAUAAAACAUUUGCAAAAACAAGCAACUCCAAAGGGUGUUGAGCUGGCUGACGAUGAAUUUAUACUGCAUGUGGAGGGAACUGCAAGCACACAGAGAGUAGUGCGCCAUAUUGGGAAAACAAGUUGGCCUGGUAUGUCUUUAGUUUGAUGUCUUACAUCUUUUUAACUGCUGUAGAAAUUGUUACUUGGAUUUUACUAAUCAUAAUUGUUGUCUCUAGGUAGGCUCACACUGACAAAUUAUGCGCUCUACUUCGAGGCUUCGGGAGUAAUAACAUAUGAAGAUGCUCUAAAGAUUGACCUCUCAAAAGAUGCUGAACUAUCUGUUAAACCAACUGCCACAGGUCCAUGGGGUGCUCCGCUUUUUGACAAGGCAAUUGUAGUCGAGUCCCCUGAACAGUAAGCAUAGUUGCACUUAUAUGAAAUUACUGGAGCUAUUAGCAUCGUUAUUCUUAUUUUAAAAAUUGUUAAAUGCUUGGUAGUUAUCCCAUAAGCUAGAUUUUAAAUGCAUAACAUACAAGGCAGACAUCAGAAAGCAUUCUGAUUCGUUUAUUAAAGUUUGUCUUUUAUUAAGCUAAAGAUAUUAAUGCUGCUAGAUUUUUCUAAUUUGGUUGUAGAUAUUGGUUAGUUACACUGUCAAAUGAGCAAAUCUCGUGGAUAUUUCAUAGUGUGGUUAUGCAAUUGUUUUUUGCCCUUCACUUUUCUAGAUCUGAGGGAAUUGUCCUGGAGUUUCCAGAGAUAACUAGCUCGACAAGGCGUGAUCAUUGGCUGGCCCUCACAAAGGAGAUAAUGUUAAUGCACAAAUUCCUGUCAAAAUUCAAGGUGGAAUGUCCAAUACAAGCAUGGGAGAUGAAUGCAAGGACAAUACUUUGCAUCAUAAGACUCCAUGCAGCAAGAGAAAUGCUGAGGAUAUUGCCUCCAGAUCCCACAAAAUUCUUGAUUUUUGCUUUGUAUGAUGAGUUGCCAAAGGGAGACUACGUGCUAGAAGAGCUUGCUGAGAGUCUGAAGAAAGUUAAUUGUGGACAUCCUUCCAGUGCUAGCUCAAUUCUGAGAUGUAUGAACCUGUCAAUUGCCGCAAGUGGAGAAGUAAAAGAAGGAAAAGAACUGGAGGAACAUAAACAUAUAAGUGAUGAAAGCUGUUCAUCACUGGAAACUGCCAUCAAUCAAUCUAAAGAGCAAGCAAAGGCAAUUGAAAUUGCUAAGUCUACCACUGAGGGCCUGAAAGAUGAAGGGAUCAGUGAUAGUAUCCUUGUUCUCUUGGUAUGUUUUUACUUCCAAAUUGUUGUUUAUGCUGCUGAUUUUAUAUUGACAGAAUAAGUAAUGACAUCUCAACAAAUCAUGGUAUUGAGAGCUUGUUUGACAUUUAUCAAACACAGCAAAGAAAUUGAAUUUUAUGAAAUUCCUAUAGCACCCUAUAAUUUGUACCAAAAAAUCUCUGCACCUUUGGCAUGCUGUAUGGUAUGGAAGUAUAGCUGUCUCAGAGAGGUUACUGUUAUUUACUUUAUUUGGUUUUGUAGUAUUGAUGUUAAGUUUGAUUUAAUAAUGUAGGAGCUACUAAAGCCACUUAAAAGUGUUUUACCCUGGAUUCGAGAAGUUGUUUCAUGGGAAAAACCAGCAACCACCCUCACUGUGAUUGCAACAACUCUACUAAUAGUGUACAAGUAAGUCAGUGCUCCCUCGUAAUUUUCUUAUAUACGGAAAUUUUUUUGAAAGUGCAUGUUGAUCAAGAACCACUUCAUUACUUGGCCUAUUAAUGUGUAAACUUUGCAAAUGACUAGUAAACUAUAUAAUGGCAAUGUAGGGAGUGGGUAGGCCAGGCUAUAGCUGCUUGUUUGCUCACCAUCGUGGUGAAGAUGCUUCAGGCAAGAAAAAAAAGGUUGACAGACAAAUGCAAUGAGAUAGUAGUAUGCACUGCUUCAGAUCAGAGCACCGUGGAGAGCAUUGUGUCGGCUCAAUACAGUUUGAUAACUAUUCAUGAGAUGUUGCAGGCAGCAAACAUUAUGAUUUUGAAGAUAUGGUCGAUAUUAAUUUCAAAGGCCCGCAAGGUACUCAUUUUGAUAACCUAUGCUUUCAGCUUAGCAAUUAAAUAUCGUUUUCAAUCAAUAUUGCUUAUUCGUCGUUAGCUGAAGUUCGUUUACCUACUACAUUUGUUGGAUGUCUUCAAUUAUUGAGGAGUCUUAGUUGCAUUUCCAAAUUGUUCUAAAUCCUCGUUUCAUUUAAUGGGUUGCAGCAUGCGGACACGGUUAUGGUGGCAUUGACUGGGUUAGCAAUAGUAUUAGCAGUUGUUCCAUUCAAGUAUAUUGUCAUGGGAGGUGUGCUGUACGGCUUCAUUAUGAACUCGAAGCCAAUGAAGUACCUGGGAAACAACUCAAACGACCAAAGCGGCAACAGACGUCUAAAAGAAUGGUGGGAGUCAAUCCCUAUUAUUCCUGUUCGCGUCGUGGACAAGCUUCCUGAGUGCCCAAAAUAAUGUGUCGGCUCCUGCACAAUCACAGUUGCCUAAAUCCUCUGUUUCUGAACUUUUGUUAUCAACUUACUGCACGAUAUACACUUCUGAGUUUGCUUUUGCCAUCAGAGUAGAACUGUAUCUGAAACACAGCAUACACUUAAAUGCUCAUUACAAAUUUGGAGAAAAGCACAAGUAGAAAAGGAUUGAAGACAUUCAGUAACGUUGAAAUUCUGCAUUUUCUUUAAUUUUUGUUAUGAACAAGUUUCUUAAUUAUUUGUUCUCUUGAUGUAAAAUAGCAUAUUGCUGGGAGUAAUGAAGAUGUGACUGUGCUUUUCCUAUUAGCAUGUUAAUAAAAGCAAAAUGGAAAAUUAUUAGUUACGUCCUCUCGUUUUGCGGCUUAUUGAGCUAACAAGUAACUUCUUCAUUACUAGCGUGCAAGUUUGCAACUAGUGAAUCUCAAAUAUAACUCUACCCAAUGGAUGGAUGUACGAUGGAUGUACCUACCCAAUCAUUUAUUUCUCAUUAAAUCUGUUAAAACAGAAAAAGUCCCGACGUCAUAUUCUUCGCGCCUUUUAAAAAACGACACGUGUCGUAUCCCACUACUCGCGUGCUGGAAACUUUAACCCACUCUGACUGCGUGACAGCAGAUCAUUCCCAAUUCAUUUCAGUUUCACUGUCACUUUCACUCCUCCUCAGGCGCCUUCCGACAAACAGGAAGAAUGCAAACUUGAAAACCCCCAAAAACCCUAACGUUCCCCCGGAGACCCUAACCCACCAUAAACCCUGGCUCUUAAUCCUAGCCACUAUGAGCGACCAAGACGAGCAAUCGCGAGCUCAGAAAGCCGCCCAGUUAACAAGUCCGCUCUCAUCCUCUCUCUCGAACCUUUCUUCUUCUUCAAGAAGCAUCCCCUCUAAUCAAGAUUUCCAUUUCUUCUACAAUUUCCCUGAAUUCAAUCAACCCGUCCAAGAAAUCGCGAACCAAUCGCAGCUCCUCCUACAAUCCAUCGGCUCAUCGGAGAUUUUUAACCAACCGAUCAAUUUUCCUGAUGAGGUUGACAUCUCGGACGCCUACGACUGGCUUGUCGACGUAAACGACAACGUUUUCGAGCGUAUGGAUGUUUCUUUCGACGAAUUUAGUAAAGUAAGAGGGGAAAAUGGGGAAGGAGAUGGAAAUGAAGGUGGCUUUCAGUUGGUUUAUGGGAAGAACAAGAAGAAGGGCGACAUUGUGGGUGGCUCUGCCCCGGCCAGUGUGAAAGUGAAGGACAGGAAAGAGAAAAGCAAGGUGCCGUUUCAUAUAUCGACUAUAACAAAACCGCAAGAGGAGUACAAGAUAGUUGUGAACAAUGCGAACCAGCCGUUUCAGCAUGUUUGGUUGCAGAAGAUUGAGGACAGUGGACGGUUUAUCCAUCCUCUUGUAAGUUUGUUAUUUUUUGAAUAUUUUGAUAUUGGAUUUGACUUACUGGGUUUGUUAAAUUUGUAAUCUGAAAAUAGUACCUUUCUUAGGGACUUUUUAGUGAUCAAUUAUUUCUUUCAUUUUCUUUUUGGGUGGUUUGUGGUAUAUGUUUACGCUUAUCUUGUUUGGAAUUUGUGUGCAAUUCUUAUUAUUCAUGCGAGAAUUUUAACACUAUCAUGUGGUUCAUGCUUGCCAAAAAUAUACCAAAACACUUUUGCUUAUUGCUAUUGCUUUAUUUGUACAGGACAAUCUUUCUGUUUUGGAUUUUGUUGAUAAAGAUAUAGGGGAUGUGGAACCUGUAAAACCUCCCUCGUUGGAGCAGACACCAUUCAAGCUUGUGGAAGAAGUUAAAGAUUUAAAGGAGCUAGCUGCUAAAUUGAAGAGCGUAGAUGAGUUUGCGGUAAAGUCUGACUUCUGUGAUUAUGUUUUAUUGAUAAAUAAUGCCGUGGUUCAGCCUUACUGCAGUAGUUUCUUUUUUUCAGCCUUUUGAUUUCUCUUUUCUGAUGGGGCAUUUCAUAUACAGAACUGAACACUGUCCUAUGUAGAGGAUAUAGUGUAGUUAAGGCACAUGUCACCGAUGUCAGCUACUUCAAAAUUAUAUAGUGCUGGAUGUGGUUUAAGCCAAUAAGACAAGAAAGGGGUGUGGCCGCCUAUGAAGAUACAUACAAAUAUGUUAAUAUUCGAAACAUAUACAAAGAAAUGUGCCUGUAAUAGUUUUCCUGUCUACGUAAAGUAGUAAACCAGCUGUCUAUUUAAUCUUGAUACAAGUUUUGCAUGUUUAAAAAAUUAUCUUUCAUCUUUAACAGUGAGUCCAUUUUUAGCUGUAAUCCUUUUCUCAAGCAUGACUUGGUUUUGCUUUCGUUUUCAUCUCAACAGUAAACCUGUUUGCAACUAGAAAACAUUGUAAUUUUUUUGUAACUUUUCUCUAGGUCGACUUGGAACAUAAUCAAUAUCGAUCUUUCCUAGGAUUGACUUGCCUGAUGCAAAUUUCCACCAGAACCGAAGAUUUUGUGGUAGAUACGUUAAAGCUUCGCGUUCAAGUUGGGCCAUAUCUUAGGGAAGUUUUUAAAGAUCCUACCAAGAAAAAGGUUGGUCCCUUCAACAUGCUCUCGCGUAGCUUUGUGAUAAAUCUUAUUUUUUCCCCCCCAAAUUAUGUUAACUUUUACUUUACUAGGUGAUGCAUGGAGCAGAUCGAGAUAUUGUGUGGCUUCAACGGGACUUUGGCAUAUAUUUGUGCAAUAUGUUUGACACAGGACAGGUUUUAUCCCUUGAAACUCUCUUUGAAAUUUGAGACUUUAUUGAUGAUCUUGUCUGGUUUUUUGUACAAUGGUUAAAUUUAUCUUAUCUUAUCUGCUUUUUUGUGGUCUAAUUUAUGAGUGUUGAUGCAAGCCUUUAUUCUACUAAAUUAGUUAAAUUGAGUUAUCUUUUGAUACUGUAUUUUCAAUUUUGUAAUUCAUCUUAUGUGUUUGAGUCAAGGUUUGGCUUCAAAAAGCCUUGUCAGUUACAUGUCAUCUCUCCCUUAAUUUUUUCAAAGUAGCUUCGCUUGUCAUUUGAACUAUUUGUAUCAUUAUUUUCAAUUUUGAUGUGGAACUUCCCCCAUUUAUUAAUGUUCUUUUGGUUGUUUUUGUGUAAUGCUCUUUUGUAAAUUUUACCGUGGCAUUUAUUUUGUUUUGCAUUUCAAAUAAUAGUGAGAAUUGCUUUUUUCAGUCCUAAGUUUAUUGGUUUAUUGUAAAUAUACUGUAUAUUUAUUUUGGUUUGCAUUGGGAGAUGAUCGUGGGAAUUUGUUUCUGUCUUUUCAUAAGGCCUCAAGAGUCUUGAAAUUGGAGAGAAAUAGUUUGGAGUAUCUUCUACAUCACUUUUGUGGAGUUAAUGCCAACAAAGAGUGAGUCCUUUUGUAAAGUACCUGAUCUGUUUCUCCUUAUAGUUUCCGCCCUUCAUCAUCCUAAGUCAACUCAUUGCAGAUACCAGAACGCAGAUUGGAGAGUACGUCCUCUUCCCGACGAGAUGCUGAGGUACCUUUGGUUCUCUUUUUAUCUUCUUUGUAACCUACUUUUCUAAUGAGUUCUCCAAAAAAAAAAAAAUUAUGAUCUGUUUGGCAUGAAAAUAAUUACUACUAUUUUAAAGUUCUUGUAUUCUUUGGAAAAGCAGAAAUCAUAUAUCAUCAUUUAAGUGUUUGGGGUUUCAUCUUUGCCUGUAUUUUUGUAGAAACUAAUAAUAUUUUUUUUUCUGUGGCUUAGGAUUUGAAUUGUGGGAAUAUCUAUGUUGGAAAUUAAUAAUGAGUGCACAUUGACUCUUGAUAGUGGACAAAUAUUUGGACAGCCAGGAAGGGGAAGGCCAACAAAAGUUUUGGGUUUUUAUAAGUUGAAGUUAUGAAUGGUUUUAUAAUUAAUUAGGUAUAGGUUUCCUCAUUUGGGUAUUUCUGGGAGAUCUGGGUUAUAAGAUUGAGAUAUUCCAGCCUGUAUAGAUAAUUGUAGGGUUGCCUGUGUUUGUGAUAUUCCAGCGCGUUUAUUAUUACUACUUCUUAUAUAUAUAAAAUUUUAGACUCUUUCCAUGUCUAACAAGAAGUUUUCAUGAUAUCACUUGGAUCCUACUCAUGCAGACUUGUAAGGCAUCCUUAGGUGCGGUUAUGUGAUCUGGUUUUUAUAAAUAUUUUUAAAUUUUUUGUCAGAGACAAUGCCUGUAGUGACAAUGUACUGACUUAUCUUUUGGUUAUUACCAAGCUGAAUCAGGUUGCCUGUGGUUUAUGACCAUACCAUUUGGUCUUAUAAAAUGUUCUUCCCUUCACCUCAUGUUCUCAUACUUUAAAGCAUGAAUAAUAUCUAAGGGCCUGAGAUUAUUUCAUUAAUUUUUCCCAAGUCUAGAUCCUUCCCAGAGAAAUGGAUGGAUUACCCACACACUCACCAGUAACAUGUCGUACUUUAUGACGGUUUUGCAUUACUGCUGUAUGUCAUUUAAUUUGCCCUUUUGAGGAUUCUUUAUUUUCUCUGGGCUGAUGUUACUUUGUGGUGCUUUUUUUUCCUAUUUAGUCAAAAUAUAUAUUCAUCAUAGAGUUUCUCUGUUAGAAUUUUCUUAGCUUUGAGGAUUCGUUAGUGGCAUAUCAUCCAAUUGAUUAUACUUGUGAUGACAGAUACGCUAGAGAAGAUACACACUAUCUGUUGUAUAUAUAUGAUAUAAUGAAAAUCAAGUUGUCCUCAAUGCCCAAGGAGUCUGAGAAUUCUGAUACUCCCCUGACAGAGGUAUGAUUUUUGCUUAACUGUUGGUGUUGUUUUGUAAAACUGUUGGGCAUCUCUAUGAUUAUAGAGAAUCCAUUUUUAAAUGCUUUUUUCAGAUCUUGUUGUGCCAUGUAUGACAGACCAUUGCGUCUGGAGAUUGGCAUGGAGCUUAAUAAUUACAAUGUUAAAAAUAGAACAUAAAAUAUUGGGAAGUAUCUAUCAUGACUAAUUCUUCAACUGUUUAAGGAAGAUAGUUUAAAUCCGAAUAUCCUUUUUUGGAUUGUGGACUAAAGAAAAUUGUCAACUCUUGAUUUCUCUUCCCAAGGAUGAAGACGUAUCAGUCUGUUGGCAAACACAUUUUUUGAAUUUUACUUUAGUUAUCUAUAAUUUUACCAUAUUGAGCAAACAUUUUGUUGCAAACAGGUCUACAAGCGCAGUUAUGACGUAUGCAGGCAGCUGUAUGAGAAGGAGCUUCUGUCAGAAAAUUCUUAUCUCCACAUUUAUGGGUUUGUCUUUGUCCCUAUUCAUCUCAGUUUAAGUUUUCAUUUAGUGGCCUCGCCUGUUUAAAAUCUUCUCUCAUACAGUUUUUGUUUGUUUCAUUCUUUACUUAGCAUUACUUCUCUUGUUUAAUUUUAGUUCUAUUUUGGACUUCGUAUUUAUGUGAUUUGACAGAACUUAAUCAGUGGAGCUUAUUUCUCUAUGUUGAAAUAGGUUGCAGGGGGCUGGUCUCAAUGCUCAGCAGCUUGCUGUUGUUGCGGUAUGUCAGUUCUUCAUGUGUUUUUCAAACUUUGCCACUUUUCUAUCUGGAUAUUAUAUGCAUGAGGAUGCUACUGAAAAUGUAUUAUCCGCAUGUUUUGUUUACUAGUUGCAUCUUCAAAUGAAACAAAGUCUUGACCCAGAAGAAUCCGUAACGCACCAAUAGUCACUAAUAGGAUUGUCUUGAGAAAUUUACUUCUAAAUUUUUGAGUGGAUGAUAGAAGGGUGGAUUUUAAGUAGCUGACACAUCAUUGCCAACUGCUGAUAGAGUCUGUUGCAUACUUGAGUAUUCUUGCUAGUUCUGGCCCCAUUGAUCCCACUUCAAUGAUUUGCAGGGUCUUUGUGAAUGGCGAGAUGUUAUUGCUCGUGCAGAUGAUGAAAGUACUGGCUAUGUAUUGCCAAACAGAACUCUGAUUGAAAUUGGUAGAAACCUGUCUGAAUUUCCUCCAACUCUCUCUUCUAUAUGUAUAUAAUCCAUUUGGUGAGUUAUGAGUUAAUCAUAUUUUCCUUUUGUGGUAAAAGCCAAACAGUUGCCUACUACUGCUGCCAAGUUACGUCGAUUGUUGAAAUCAAAGCACUCAUAUAUUGAACGCUAUAUGGGUCCGGUACUUAGCAUCAUAAAAAAUUCUAUGCAAAAUGCUGCUAAUUUUGAAGUCAUUGCUCAAAAAUUGAAAGAGGAACGUAUGGAAGUGGUAAGACCUGCAUGCUCAUGUUUGAUUGUUUUGUUAUAUCAGUGAUCCAAAUUGAUUAUUUUUCUUUGAGAAUUUGAUGUUAAUGCCUUCAAUGGAUUGCCAACAUACAUUGAUUUUCUUUUUCUUUUCCUUGGAUUUCGUUAGAAUCAGACCAACCAUCUUUUAAACGAGGAUGAUGGUCCAAAACCUUAAGGUCUACUACGAUGAAUUGCUACUUUUUGUGCAAGUUCUUGUAAUUCACUCAGCUGGUUGUCUUCGGCAAAUGAAAGGAAAAAGGAAAUUCAUCCAAUCCAGUUCUAUUGAAGAAAAAGAAUCCUAGUUGAUCUUACAAAAUUAAGCUUUCAUAAUUUGUUAACCCAUGGAAUGUGAUUAAAACUCAUGGACAAAGGAUGUUCCAGUUGAGAAAGGGAUUUGAGUGAUUUUUAGCAAUUAUCAGUGAUGUCUUCAUUAGAAGUAAGUUUAUGGUUUAUAGCAGUAAAUGCUCAAUAAUUAGGUACUCCUUGUAUAUUGGCUGACCGGGUCCCAUGUUUGUAGUAGGUUUUGUGAGCUACAGAGGAUUAACUUCAGUCAGUUUUCCAUGUUAUGGCUGUUAAGAGCUAUGUCACCAUUUUUCUUUGUUUACAUCAAACUAAUCUUUUUUUUUCCCCCCAUUUUUCCUUAUUUGUGUAGGCAUCAGAAGAAACUGAAGUUUUAGUUCUUGAUACUUCCUCAAACUUGAAAAUUCCGAAUGUUGGAAGGGAGAGUGUUGAUGGUGUUGAUGCAUUAGUUGGUACCACGAUGCCUCACCCACCAGCUUACACCCAGCUGAAACAAGAGCCUCCAAAGGUUGGAAGCAGUGUCGCAGAACUUGACAGAAAUGGACUAGGGUCUUUUGCGCAUCCUGGAGAAGCAAUUGCUUCAGAAAAUAAAGAAGCUACUCAUAUUUCAACACUUUCCAGCUCUGGUCAAAGUAGAGACUUGAAUGCUUGCAAGUCACCUUCACCAAGGGUUGUGAAUUUGAUGCCUUAAUGUGGAUUUUUUUUUUUUUUGGUUAAGAGGUUUAGCAUUCAAUUUCUUUUUCUUUGGUUGUGAAUUUGAUGCCUUAAUGUGGAUUGGAUUUUUUUUUUUUUUGGUUAAGAGGUUUAGCAUUCAAUUUCUUUUUCUUUAUAGGUUACUGAAGCUGCUGUUCAGGCUCUAAAGAAGCCGAACCGUGGUUUUGGAGCACUGCUGGGUAACCCAAAGAGAAAGUUUGAUGGCGAGAAAAAGGUGAGUUAAUCAUUUGCUAGUAAUGGUUGUUAAACAUCUGCUAUGUCAUUGUCACAUAGCAAAAUAACUAUUUCUGAGGCCUGCCAGUCACCCAGUUUGUGCAUGUGUGGUUGGGAAGAAGGCAACAAAGGAAGAAUAUAGUUAAACAUUUGCUAUGUUAUUCUUACAUAGCAAAAUAACUACUACUGAGGCCUGCCAGUCAGCCAGUCUCUGCAUGUUGGUUGCAAAGAAGGCAACAAAAGAAGAAUGUUUUUUUUUUUUGAAUCUUCAUUCCAUGAUUCACUUUCUUUUCAAUUUUUCUUGUCAACUAGCAUGUACAUUUGCCUUCUUGUUGCCUUUUUCGUUGCGUGAGUCAUUAUGAAUUAUGAUUUAUAUUAUACGGAAAUUGUGAGUGGGCAACUGUUGGGCUAUAAUCAAACAUGCAAAAUUUCGGGUCCCAUGACUAAGCGCUGCUAUCAUCUGGAUUUGUGUGUUGUUGCAUUUUAUAUUUGGUUAACACCCUUCUUAUUAUCCUCCUUUUGAUUGUUUGUUUGUCUUAAUUAGGACAAGGAAGCUAUGAAACUAGAGCAGAUUAAAUCCUCAGUCAAUCUUCCAUUCCACUCAAUUUUUGCAAGAGAUGAACAGUUAAAACCAGUUGAUGUGAUGAAGUCUGAACCAAAUAAGCCUGACAUUCCAUUUCCUUCAUCUUUUGGUAGUGGGCAACAAACGAAACCAAUCAUAGAGGAAUCCAAUAGAGUUACAGUAGUUUCCCAAUCAGAAGAACCCGCUCCGGCUGCUAGGUCUGAUACAGAAGAUAUUAUUACGUUGGAAGAUGAUAUAGAUGAAGAGGAACAAAACCUUGGUAAUUUGGAAACUGCAAGUGCGCCCGGAGAGGACGGUUCUGCAGGGUCUGCUUUGGAAAUGGGUAAACAAGAUGAGACCAUGUCUCUCUCUGAUUUAUCAACUAGUUUCCAGGAGUGCUUCCACUCUGCUAACAACAAUAGAAAACCUGGAAAGCCUGAGAGAUCUGAAGAACCUAGUGGUUUUUUGCAGCUUAAGCCGUUUGACUUCGAAGCAGCUAGGAAACAGAUCGAGUUUGGAGAAGAUGCCAAAGAAAAAUCAGCUGGGGUUGAUGGAAACAAAAGAAAACCAGUGAACUCUGGAGAUAAGAAAAAAGUUUCAGCUGUAGAUCAAGCUCAAAAAGAUGAUGGAACAAAAGAACUGUCACAAGGUAGACGACGUUCUGCUUUUCCUGCAACUGGAAAUCGAAGUGCAACAUUUCGCUGAGUCUCUGGUAUCAAUCAUGCUGCUCUGUGUAGCAGAAAUUAGUUGAAUUUUGGAUUUUCACAAUCAUGUUCUUGAUUUAAAUGGAAAUUAAUGCUGGUGGACAAAUUCGCAAUGGUUGUACGUAUAUUUCCAUUGCUUGAGGUCUUGUCUGAUACAGCAUGAGCUAACCUGAUCAUCUUUUGAUAUUCAGUAACAGGAGAGAUGUAUGGUCUGCAGGAGCCAAUGAUGGGCAAGUGAUACCUGAGGCCGGUGUCUAUUUGAAGGUAAAAUGGGCGAUGGUUCUAGGUUUCAUAUUAGGUUUUUGAUAGUCUUGAGUAAUUGCCCUACUAUCUUCAUAUUUAAAAAACAGGAUGGUUUCAAACCAAAGUGCGGUUUGUAAUCAAAAGCAUUUGAUCUUUUUGUUUUUGUAACUUUACGGGUUUUAUUUUUAGAAAAAUGGUUCUGUACUAUGGUUUAUUUCUGCCUUAUUUGAUAUUGUGGUCAUCUUAGGCUUUAUUUAGUGUAAUUUUUCAGUUAUAUGUUCGUUUGGGAAGAGGAAAUGAAGUUAAUUUUAUUUCACACUUGCAUAAGAAAAAAUUGUAAUGUUUAUAUUAUUUUUGUUAAAAUUAUUAUUUAAAAAUUAUAUUUGAUAUCUAUUAAUAAUUUUUAUUAUAAUUAUAAUUUUCUUUUUCCUCCAUCAUCUCAAUUGCUUAUAACUGCUGUUGAGGAUGGUUGGUGCGAUGUUAAUAAUUUGUAAAGGGCUUAGUAACAUCUGGUUCCGUGAUGUCGGCCAAACCAUAUCGAAGGGCUUAAUUUGACGGUCAUCGGGGCCUCCUGCCCAGCUGCCCUCCUUUACGGAUUCCGCUUCCGCAAAUUAUUUUAUAUAAACUGUUGUUACAUGAUAGUGGUGGCCGGAUGAAAAUACUACAUGACCAUAUAAUGCUUUCGGUGCAAUGAGUGAAAAAGAGAAAUUUUUAUGUAUUCUCGGAUUGAAGGAGAAAUUUUAAGAUUAAGAUUGUGGAGUGGUAGCAGGAGUAAAUUAUUUACUUACAUCACUAUGAGAGUGUGGAACGAAAAUUAGAAAUUAUGUAUUUUCUUUGUCUUAGAUUGAGAGUGAAUCAUUUUAAAUUAUAAUUUUAUCCUUAUUUAAAGAAUUGUAGUUUUUAAUUAUAAAGUAAAUAAAAAAAUAUAUUUGCACAAUAAAUUAUUUAUUUUGUUAUUAAUUUUAAUUAUAUAAAUUAAUAAUAAUUAUUAUUAUUCUUAAUCAUGUGAAUCAUGAUUUUUUUGUUAAUUUUNNNNNCGUACAGCAGAAAUAAAUAUGAUAUUUUUAUUUUUAAAUAAAUGUGAUAUUAUUUUUAUUUUUAUCAAUAUAAUUAUAUUAUAUUCAAUAAGGAAAUGAUAAAAAGAAAGAAGUGGGAGUAGAUUUCUACUUUUUAUUCAAAAACAAAAAUGAGACCCACAGAGUAGAAGCCUAACUCUCCUCCUUAGAUGAGUACUAAAACGUUUAAGUAGGAGAAAUUCAUAUUUUUGACUCCCACUCUACAAAGUAAACAUAAUAAUAAUAUCAUAAUAACAUUUGAUAAUUCUAUAUAUUUGUGACGUCAUAUCUCAUCAAUUGAUUAAUAAAAUUAAAUGGUGAUUAUUUAUGAAAGAACAAAAUUAAUUCAUGUGAGUUAUGGUUAAUAAAUAAAUAAAAUAUAAAAUGUUAAAUUUUGACUAUAAACUAAUUUCAAUAUCUAAUAAUUUAAAAGCUCAAUAGAGCUAUGAUAAAAACUAAAGGGAGGAUUCUUAAUCCGAUCCGGGAUCUUAAUCAGUUCAGGACCGAUCCACUUCCAGCUAUUACGCGUCAAACAUCCAUUUGACGAUUGACGUGUCACGCCAUCUCACUGUCCUCACAAGAAAACCCGUUACCUUCAAAAUGCUCCAAACCCAUCAACGCCGAAUUCAAAUCAAGCCCCAAGACCAAAUACAAAGCAAAAACAAAUAAACAAACGUCUGUUCAUUCAGUCUGAAAAAAUCAAAAGAAGUAAAAGGAUUGGCGAUGGCGAUGGCGGUUGAAGGAGGAGGGACAUUAUCGGAGAUAUAUCAAAGUGCGAAGAAGUUGCUGUUGAGAGCGAGAGACGGAGUUGAGAAACUGGAGAGACUGGAGAGCUCGACGUCGACUGGGGGAUACGAUUCGCCGGAGCUCUCCUUCGCUGUCAAGAAAGAUAUUUCUCAGAUCCAGUCACUCUGCGUCGAGAUGGAUCGCCUAUGGCGCUCCAUCGCCGACAAGUCUCAGCGCGAUCUCUGGAAGAGGUACCUAUUCAUUUACUGUUUUGCCACGUGGCACCGAAUCAACCUUGUGUCGUGUCCUAAUUGCUCUACGCCAGUUCGGUUGCAAUUCUGUGCAUGAACCGCAAUUUUUAUACUGAAUAUUACAUUAUUGAUUUUGUCUGAGCGACAAGGCAUGCUUCCACGUUUACUUGUUGCUUAGUUUUAUUGUUUUGCCUUCUAUGUUAACAGUCUAUAUAAGUUUUAUAUGUGUUACAGGCAUGUGUAUAUAUGGAAGUACAUUAAUAGCUGUUCAUGCUGUUGCUUGCUUGAGGUCGUUGGUAUAUUUGCAUUUGGAACUAAAUGUGCUUGGUGUGGGUUCGCUAUGUGUGUGUGUGUGUGUGUGUUUGUUUGCGUUUGAUGUUAAAUGGAAUUACCUUCUAUCGAGUCAGUGCCGCAAUUUGAUUGCUUGGUUUUUCAGAGGUGUGUUUUUAUGUUAUGUCAUGCAGAAAAGUUGAACAAGUAGCAGAAGAGGCUGAAUCAUUGAAAGAGAGUCUCGAUAAGUACUUUUUAAGAAAUCAGAGACGGAUAAAUGAAGCUAGAGAGAGGGCGGAAUUGCUUGGAAGAGCUGUAUGUUUAUUCAGUUUUCGUUAGAAGUUUUGAACGGAUUCUGUAGUGUUUUUCUUGUCUGGAAACGAGAAUUAGCUUUCCAAUCUGAUGAAUUUCUUUUAUGUUAUAGAAUGGAGAGUCGUCUCAUAUUUUGAGAAUUUUUGACGAGGAGGCGCAAGCAAUGCAGUCAGUACGCAAUUCAUCGAGGAUGUUGCAAGAAUCGUUUGCAACUGGGACAGCCAUUCUUGCCAAAUAUGCAGAACAAAGGGAGCAUCUAAAGGUAUUGACACUUAAGCUCCUUGUUUACAUGCACAGUUGCACACUAGAAAUUUUUGCCAAGCUCACUCAAACUGUGUGCAAACAAAGUUCACUAAACAGGGUCAAAUGAGAAAUUUACAUUCUUGUCAUGGUUGUAUUCUUAACAUGAUUAAAUAUUUAAAUGAGAACAAUGUUAGAUCCUCAAAGCAAUUAUCUUUAAUAUUGAUUUAUACUACUGCUAUAGAAAUUAUAAGUGUUUGCAGCACCUGCACAAAUGGCUGCAGAGAAUUUAGUCUGUCUAUGGUAAUAAUUUUAAAAGCUGGUAACUCCAAAUAUUCAACAGUGGCUGACAAAAACAAUCCUCAAGUUUUAAAGUAAAAGCAAACUUUGCUUUGAAAUAAUCAGUGACAACAAUGACGUGAAAGUGUCACCAACUGUUUAUAUAUAAUAUCUCCAAUAUUCCAGAAUUUAGUUUCAUAAUGGCUGGCAAAGACUUGGUUUUUUUAAGGUUUAAAGUAAAAACGAUCUCUGCUUUGAAAUGUUCAGUGGCAACAGUGAUGUAAAAUGAUCAGCAACUGUUCAUAUCUAGUAUCUCCAAUGUUUAGAAUUUUGUUUAAAAGAUCCGUUCCAUCCAUAAAAAAAUUUCAUUCUGAAUAAGCAACUCAAGAUUACACUUCGCAAGAACACACCAUCUACCAUUUCUCACAAAUUUAAAUGUCACAACCUAUGAUCCAUUACCAAUUGUGAGAAACGGCAGAUUAUUUGUUCUAAUGAAGUGUAAUUUGAGUUGCUUAUUUAAAAUGAAAUUCUUUUAUGGGUAGAAGGGAACUUCUAAACGAAGUUCUAGGAAUCAAAUUAGCUGUUUAGAUUUGAAUAGUUGGUGAUGCUUUGAUGUCACUGUUGCCACUGAUUCUUCUCGAAAAGAAACAGAUUUUUAAAUGGUAUUAUAGAGGUCACAGAAAAAAAAUAGUCAUGCUAUCAUUGAUAGCACUUGCCACUGAUGUUGAUAAUGAGUUUAACUGAUUAACUUCCAUCUUUGGUUCAGAAAGCACAAAGGAAAGCUCUGGAUGUUCUCAACACUGUGGGUCUGUCCAAUUCAGUAUUGAGGCUCAUUGAGAGGAGGAACCGUGUCGAUACAUGGAUCAAAUACGUAGGAAUGGUUUCUACAGUGGUCAUCUUAUAUUUCUUCUGGAGGUGGACUAGGUGAUCCGAUCUUCAUACUUAGCCACGCAUAGAUCAUUAAUCCGCAUACUUUGGAAUGAUUAAGUUUUGUUCUUGAUAUUUGCCCCAUAAGAGGGUUAAUGAGGAUGUACAAGGCAUUCUUUGAUGAGAGACUAUCCUCUUAUGAGGAUGUAUAAAGCAUUCUUUGUUAAGAGACUAACUCGUAUAGGACGGACUCCCAAAGAAGGUUCUUUGCAAUUCUUGAACAUUUAGAGCGAAGUUGACGAAACGUGCUAGUUGUUUUUGUAUUUUGGCAAAAGGGGAAUUACAGAGUUCGAAGAUUCUAAGAAAUGCGCCAAUUUUGUUUUGUUGUCAGAACGCAAAAACGGCCUGAUUGUGGACGGUUAAAUCCGGAAUUAUGUAGUGGAUUUGCAGUUAUUGAAGGGCAUGCUUGGGAAAAUAAUAUGGUCAAAUAAAAUCAAGAACAAUUAUAUUGUAUCUGCUGUUUAUGCGUCCGUACUUGAAGGUGUCCACGUGGCUGGUGUGUGUUUGUUAAACCAGUAAAAUUAAGUAGUGCGAAGUUCUGAUCGCCGCUCAUUGAUUGUUUUUUUUUUUAACUUUAAAUAAACUAUGAGAAAAGGCUUUGAAUGAGUCGCAGAUAAAUUAAAGUUUUUUUUUUCUUCUUCUAAAUUUAUAUCCAAUGGUUCGGCACAUGUUAUUUUCUUUAUUUUUAGUGCACACGGUAAACUAUUGAUAGUAUUUGGUGUAAACUCACUUUCAAAUCGAUGCUUCACGAAAAGUCCAAAUGACGCGCUAUGAAAGUAAUAUAGAUAACUAGGAUAAGUGGAAAUGAUAAACGAAUAAAAUGAAGUAAAAAGAAUUUUUCAUUUUUAAGGGUUACAAAAUAAGAAUAGUUAAUUACUUAAUUAGUUGACUUGCUAAAAAUUUUUCAUGCAAACAAAUGGUCUGGACUGGAAUCCGUUUAAAUGGAUAGGAAGAAAAUUAGAGUGUCGUAAAAGUACUGGAGUUUCAAAUCCCCUCACGUAGUCACAAGGAUUAGAAGAAAAUUGAAUUGUUAGGCAAAAUGAAAAAAAAGAAAAAAGCUUAACAUUUUUAUUUUCUAAAAAAAUGUUUUUCUUAGUUGUUUUGUUUUUU